RNAcentral lists this ribosomal RNA (821 nucleotides) under Micromonospora sp. BEE9H11. Its description in RNAcentral is "bacterial SSU rRNA". It matches the Rfam family "Bacterial small subunit ribosomal RNA", at positions 57 to 893 of the family's 1533-position model. The record is from RNAcentral. Lineage: Bacteria; Bacillati; Actinomycetota; Actinomycetes; Micromonosporales; Micromonosporaceae.
GCAGUCGAGCGGAAGGCCCUUCGGGGUACUCGAGCGGCGAACGGGUGAGUAACACGUGAGCAACCUGCCCCAAGCUUUGGGAUAACCCUCGGAAACGGGGGCUAAUACCGAAUAUUACUGCUGGCCGCAUGGCUGGUGGUGGAAAGUUUUUCGGCUUGGGAUGGGCUCGCGGCCUAUCAGCUUGUUGGUGGGGUGAUGGCCUACCAAGGCGACGACGGGUAGCCGGCCUGAGAGGGCGACCGGCCACACUGGGACUGAGACACGGCCCAGACUCCUACGGGAGGCAGCAGUGGGGAAUAUUGCACAAUGGGCGGAAGCCUGAUGCAGCGACGCCGCGUGAGGGAUGACGGCCUUCGGGUUGUAAACCUCUUUCAGCAGGGACGAAGCGAGAGUGACGGUACCUGCAGAAGAAGCACCGGCCAACUACGUGCCAGCAGCCGCGGUAAGACGUAGGGUGCGAGCGUUGUCCGGAUUUAUUGGGCGUAAAGAGCUCGUAGGCGGCUUGUCGCGUCGACCGUGAAAACUUGGGGCUCAACCCCAAGCCUGCGGUCGAUACGGGCAGGCUAGAGUUCGGUAGGGGAGACUGGAAUUCCUGGUGUAGCGGUGAAAUGCGCAGAUAUCAGGAGGAACACCGGUGGCGAAGGCGGGUCUCUGGGCCGAUACUGACGCUGAGGAGCGAAAGCGUGGGGAGCGAACAGGAUUAGAUACCCUGGUAGUCCACGCUGUAAACGUUGGGCGCUAGGUGUGGGGGGGCCUCUCCGGUUCCCUGUGCCGCAGCUAACGCAUUAAGCCGCCCCGCCUGGGGAGUACGGCCGUCAAGG